This 72-nucleotide transfer RNA is filed under the name Hordeum vulgare. RNAcentral's name for it is "tRNA-OTHER". Lineage: Eukaryota; Viridiplantae; Streptophyta; Magnoliopsida; Poales; Poaceae. The record is from RNAcentral.
CCGCUUGUAGCGCACUGGUCAGCGUGCUGUGUUGCAACUCGGGAGACCUGAGAUCGAAUCACAGCGCGUCCA